RNAcentral lists this ribosomal RNA (430 nucleotides) under uncultured bacterium. Its description in RNAcentral is "partial 16S ribosomal RNA". It matches the Rfam family "Bacterial small subunit ribosomal RNA", at positions 355 to 776 of the family's 1533-position model. The record is from RNAcentral.
UGGGGAAUUUUGGACGAAUUGGGGCGAAAGCCUGAUCCAGCAAUGCCGCGUGUGUGAAGAAGGCCUUCGGGUUGUAAAGCACUUUUGUCCGGAAAGAAAUCCUUGGCUCUAAUACAGUCGGGGGAUACGGUACCGGAAGAAUAAGCACCGGCUAACUACGUGCCAGCAGCCGCGGUAAUACGUAGGGUGCAAGCGUUAAUCGGAAUUACUGGGCGUAAAGCGUGCGCAGGCGGUUUGCUAAGACCGAUGUGAAAUCCCCGGGCUCAACCUGGGAACUGCAUUGGUGACUGGCAGGCUAGAGUAUGGCAGAGGGGGGUAGAAUUCCACGUGUAGCAGUGAAAUGCGUAGAGAUGUGGAGGAAUACCGAUGGCGAAGGCAGCCCCCUGGCAAGUACUGACGCUCAUGCACGAAAGCGUGGGGAGCAAACGGA